Molecule: ribosomal RNA, 507 nt
Filed under: uncultured bacterium
Lineage: Bacteria
Description: bacterial SSU rRNA
Rfam family: Bacterial small subunit ribosomal RNA
Source: RNAcentral
AGAGUUUGAUCCUGGCUCAGAAUGAACGCUGGCGGCGUGCUUAACACAUGCAAGUCGUGCGAGAAAGUCCGCUUCGGUGGAUGAGUAGAGCGGCGCACGGGUGAGUAACGCGUGGAUUAUCUCCCUUGAGGAUCGGGAUAACAGUUGGAAACGGCUGCUAAUACCGGAUACGCUGCAAUUUUUACGAUUGUAGGAAAGGUUGCCUCUACAUGUAAGCAAUCACCUUGAGAUGAGUCCGCGUCCCAUUAGUUUGUUGGUGGGGUAACGGCCUACCAAGACUACGAUGGGUAGCUGGUCUGAGAGGAUGAUCAGCCACACUGGAACUGAAACACGGUCCAGACUCCUACGGGAGGCAGCAGUGGGGAAUAUUGCGCAAUGGGGGAAACCCUGACGCAGCGACGCCGUGUGCGGGAUGAAGGGUUUCGGCUCGUAAACCGCUGUCAGGAGGGAAGAACCCGGUAGGGUCCUAAUAGGCCUUGCCGCUGACGGUACCUCCAGAGGAAGCAC